UGCUUUGAUGAAGUUUUCGGAUGGAUUUAAAACAGCUUAGUGGCGGACGGGUGAGUAACGCGUGGGUAACCUGCCUCACACUGGGGGAUAACAGUUGGAAACGGCUGCUAAUACCGCAUAAGCGCACGGUACCGCAUGGUACAGUGUGAAAAACUCCGGUGGUGUGAGAUGGACCCGCGUCUGAUUAGCCAGUUGGCGGGGUAACGGCCCACCAAGGCGACGAUCAGUAGCCGACCUGAGAGGGUGAUCGGCCACAUUGGGACUGAGACACGGCCCAAACUCC
Molecule: ribosomal RNA, 283 nt
Filed under: uncultured Lachnospiraceae bacterium
Lineage: Bacteria; Bacillati; Bacillota; Clostridia; Lachnospirales; Lachnospiraceae
Description: partial 16S ribosomal RNA
Rfam family: Bacterial small subunit ribosomal RNA (bases 45-283)
Source: RNAcentral